CCUACGAGCGGCUGCAGUGGGGAAUAUUGGACAAUGGGGGGAACCCUGAUCCAGCCAUGCCGCGUGUGUGAAGAAGGCCCUCGGGUUGUAAAGCACUUUCAGUGAGGAAGAACGCCUGGUGGUUAAUACCCAUCAGGAAAGACAUCACUCACAGAAGAAGCACCGGCUAACUCCGUGCCAGCAGCCGCGGUAAUACGGAGGGUGCGAGCGUUAAUCGGAAUUACUGGGCGUAAAGCGCGCGUAGGUGGCUUGAUAAGCCGGUUGUGAAAGCCCCGGGCUCAACCUGGGAACGGCAUCCGGAACUGUCAAGCUAGAGUGCAGGAGAGGAAGGUAGAAUUCCCGGUGUAGCGGUGAAAUGCGUAGAGAUCGGGAGGAAUACCAGUGGCGAAGGCGGCCUUCUGGACUGACACUGACACUGAGGUGCGAAAGCGUGGGUAGCAAACAGGAUUAGAUACCCUGGUAGUC
RNAcentral lists this ribosomal RNA (465 nucleotides) under Vreelandella stevensii. RNAcentral's name for it is "partial 16S ribosomal RNA". It matches the Rfam family "Bacterial small subunit ribosomal RNA", at positions 338 to 795 of the family's 1533-position model. Lineage: Bacteria; Pseudomonadati; Pseudomonadota; Gammaproteobacteria; Oceanospirillales; Halomonadaceae. The record is from RNAcentral.